Molecule: ribosomal RNA, 1008 nt
Filed under: uncultured Thiobacillus sp.
Lineage: Bacteria; Pseudomonadati; Pseudomonadota; Betaproteobacteria; Nitrosomonadales; Thiobacillaceae
Description: bacterial SSU rRNA
Rfam family: Bacterial small subunit ribosomal RNA
Source: RNAcentral
GGAUGUAACACGCAGGUGAACGGAGACGGGAGCUUGCUCCUGGUGGCUAGUGGCGAACGGGUGAGUAAUGCGUCGGAACGUGCCGAGUAAUGGGGGAUAACGCAGCGAAAGUUGUGCUAAUACCGCAUACGCCCUGAGGGGGAAAGUGGGGGAUCGCAAGACCUCACGUUAUUCGAGCGGCCGACGUCUGAUUAGCUAGUUGGUGGGGUAAAGGCCCACCAAGGCGACGAUCAGUAGCGGGUCUGAGAGGAUGAUCCGCCACACUGGGACUGAGACACGGCCCAGACUCCUACGGGAGGCAGCAGUGGGGAAUUUUGGACAAUGGGGGCAACCCUGAUCCAGCCAUUCCGCGUGAGUGAAGAAGGCCUUCGGGUUGUAAAGCUCUUUCAGCUGGAGUGAAACGGUGCGCUCUAACAUAGCGCGCUAAUGACGGUACCAGCAGAAGAAGCACCGGCUAACUACGUGCCAGCAGCCGCGGUAAUACGUAGGGUGCGAGCGUUAAUCGGAAUUACUGGGCGUAAAGCGUGCGCAGGCGGAUUGUUAAGCAAGAUGUGAAAUCCCCGGGCUUAACCUGGGAAUGGCAUUUUGAACUGGCAGUCUAGAGUGCGUCAGAGGGGGGUGGAAUUCCACGUGUAGCAGUGAAAUGCGUAGAGAUGUGGAGGAACACCGAUGGCGAAGGCAGCCCCCUGGGAUGACACUGACGCUCAUGUACGAAAGCGUGGGUAGCAAACAGGAUUAGAUACCCUGGUAGUCCACGCCCUAAACGAUGUCAACUGGUUGUUGGGGGAGUGAAAUCCCUUAGUAACGAAGCUAACGCGUGAAGUUGACCGCCUGGGGAGUACGGUCGCAAGAUUAAACUCAAAGGAAUGACGGGGACCCGCACAAGCGGUGGAUGAUGUGGAUUAAUUCGAUGCAACGCGAAAAACCGUACCUACCCUGACAUGCCAAGAACCCGAAGAGAUUUGGGGGCCUAGAAGGAGUGACACAGGCNCAAUAAGCUCAGCGUCA